CCUACGGGUGGCAGCAGUGGGGAAUAUUGCACAAUGGGCGCAAGCCUGAUGCAGCGACGCCGCGUGAGCGAUGAAGGCCUUCGGGUCGUAAAGCUCUGUCCUAAGGGAAGAAUAAUGACGGUACCUUAGGAGGAAGCCCCGGCUAACUACGUGCCAGCAGCCGCGGUAAUACGUAGGGGGCGAGCGUUAUCCGGAAUCACAGGGCGUAAAGGGUGCGUAGGCGGCCCUGCAAGUCAGGAGUUAAAUCCAUCGGCUCAACCGGGGUCAGGUCUUGAGACUGUAGGGCUUGAGUGCAGGAGAGGAGGGCGGAAUUGGUAGUGAAGCGGUGAACUGCGUAGCUAGUAGGGGGAACACCGGUGGGGAAGGGGGCUCGGUAGACUGCAAAUUACGGUGGGACGCGAGAGAGUGGGACGCCAACAGGAUUAGAGACCCUUGUAGUC
This 440-nucleotide ribosomal RNA is filed under the name uncultured bacterium. RNAcentral describes it as "partial 16S ribosomal RNA". It matches the Rfam family "Bacterial small subunit ribosomal RNA", at positions 338 to 795 of the family's 1533-position model. The record is from RNAcentral.